RNAcentral lists this long non-coding RNA (205 nucleotides) under Vigna radiata. RNAcentral's name for it is "long non-coding RNA (VRAD_LNC009310)". The record is from RNAcentral. Lineage: Eukaryota; Viridiplantae; Streptophyta; Magnoliopsida; Fabales; Fabaceae.
AAAAAAAAUUAGAAGGGUGUAGGUUGACUUUAAUAAGAAAGAGAAAAAAUUAGAGAGGUGCAGAAUGACUUUAUGAAGAAAGAGAAAAUAUUAAAAUAAUAUUAAUUAAGGUUAAAAUGGUAAUUUUUGGAAGUGCAGGAUGAAAGCUUGGAGAUGUAAGAUGAAACACCCUCUACGAAAAUGGAACUCUGACGGAAGAAAAAAC